CUUGCUUCCUGGGCUGCACAAAGUAAAUGUGGAAGAAGCCAAAUUGAUGAAUUUCUUGGUAUCUUGAAGGAUGAAGGUUUAGAAUUACCUCCUUUCCCUGCUUCCUCCAACGUAUUUCCUGGUAGAAGAGUGACUGUAGAAGAGGAUGGGAAAGUAGCAAUAUAAAGGAUGCAUGCAUAAUUGUACAUACCUACGUCUCUUCUAUCACAACUGCCUUCCUUUCAUGCACUGCACCAGCUGAGCACAAUACCUGAAAAUUGCACUUUUUUAUUUCUUUCUGGAGCAGAAUUAAUUUUUUGUUAAUUUGUGUCUUGAACUAGAUGAUAGUGGUCACAGUGAGGUAGAAUUUGAUCAAGAAGACCUCCAAGGAAAUUGUCGACAUCUCAACCGUGAUGAAGAAUUUCAGAGAAAAGUGGUGGAAAUGCGUUAGGAUAUCCGCUCAUUGAAGAAACGGGAUGCAGAAAAGUACGAAGCAACUCAAAUUCAACAAGCGUCAACUGUUGAGGCUCUAAACCUCCUUGAUAGAUCCCUCGACUCCCUGGAGGAAAAACAGAAGCUGAUGAAUGCCUUGUCCAGGGUGGGAGGAGUCCACUUGAAAGACAAUGUUAAAAGGGUCAUGGAGAAGUAAGUGUUUAUAUCUCAGUGUCAAUUAGAUUUUACUGUUAGCAUCGA
Long non-coding RNA from Perca fluviatilis (European perch), 672 nucleotides. RefSeq lists it as uncharacterized. The record is from RefSeq and is a predicted model, not a curated record. Lineage: Eukaryota; Metazoa; Chordata; Actinopteri; Perciformes; Percidae. The transcript has 3 exons.